UCUUCGGCAAUGGACGAAAGUCUGACCGAGCAACGCCGCGUGAGUGAAGAAGGUUUUCGGAUCGUAAAACUCUGUUGUUAGAGAAGAGCAAGGAUGAGGGUAACUGUUCAUCCCUUGACGGUAUCUAACCAGAAAGCCACGGCUAACUACGUGCCAGCAGCCGCGGUAAUACGUAGGUGGCAAGCGUUGACCGGAUUUAUUGGGCGUAAAGCGAGCGCAGGCGGUUUCUUAAGUCUGAUGUGAAAGCCCCCGGCUUAACCGGGGAGGGUCAUUGGAAACUGGGGAACUUGAGUGCAGAAGAGGAGAGUGGAAUUCCAUGUGUAGCGGUGAAAUGCGUAGAUAUAUGGAGGAACACCAGUGGCGAAGGCGGCCCUCUGGUCUGCAACUGACGCUGAUGCUCGAAAGCGUGGGGAGCAAACAG
This 421-nucleotide ribosomal RNA is filed under the name uncultured bacterium. Its description in RNAcentral is "bacterial SSU rRNA". It matches the Rfam family "Bacterial small subunit ribosomal RNA", at positions 362 to 775 of the family's 1533-position model. The record is from RNAcentral.